GACGAACGCUGGCGGCGUGCUUAACACAUGCAAGUCGAACGGAAAGGCCCUGCUUUUGUGGGGUGCUCGAGUGGCGAACGGGUGAGUAACACGUGAGUAACCUGCCCUUGACUUUGGGAUAACUUCAGGAAACUGGGGCUAAUACCGGAUAGGAGCUCCUGCUGCAUGGUGGGGGUUGGAAAGUUUCGGCGGUUGGGGAUGGACUCGCGGCUUAUCAGCUUGUUGGUGGGGUAGUGGCUUACCAAGGCUUUGACGGGUAGCCGGCCUGAGAGGGUGACCGGCAACAUUGGGACUGAGAUACGGCCCAGACUCCUAGGGGAGGCAGAAGGGGGGAAUAUUGAAAAAGGGGCGGAAGCCUGAUGCAGCAACGCCGCGUGCGGGAUGACGGCCUUCGGGUUGUAAACCGCUUUCGCCUGGGACGAAGCGUGAGUGACGGUAAUGGGUAAAGAAGAACCGGCUAACUACGUG
RNAcentral lists this ribosomal RNA (468 nucleotides) under uncultured bacterium. Its description in RNAcentral is "partial 16S ribosomal RNA". It matches the Rfam family "Bacterial small subunit ribosomal RNA", at positions 28 to 507 of the family's 1533-position model. The record is from RNAcentral.